This 441-nucleotide ribosomal RNA is filed under the name uncultured bacterium. RNAcentral's name for it is "bacterial SSU rRNA". It matches the Rfam family "Bacterial small subunit ribosomal RNA", at positions 30 to 472 of the family's 1533-position model. The record is from RNAcentral.
AUUGAACGCUGGCGGCAUGCCUUACACAUGCAAGUCGAACGGCAGCACGGGGGCAACCCUGGUGGCGAGUGGCGAACGGGUGAGUAAUACAUCGGAACGUGCCCAGUAGUGGGGGAUAGCUCGGCGAAAGCCGGAUUAAUACCGCAUACGACCUACGGGUGAAAGCGGGGGAUCGCAAGACCUCGCGCUAUUGGAGCGGCCGAUGUCAGAUUAGGUUGUUGGUGGGGUAAAAGCCUACCAAGCCGACGAUCUGUAGCUGGUCUGAGAGGACGACCAGCCACACUGGGACUGAGACACGGCCCAGACUCCUACGGGAGGCAGCAGUGGGGAAUUUUGGACAAUGGGCGAAAGCCUGAUCCAGCCAUGCCGCGUGCGGGAAGAAGGCCUUCGGGUUGUAAACCGCUUUUGUCAGGGAAGAAAUCUUUCGAGCUAAUACCUUGA